This 460-nucleotide ribosomal RNA is filed under the name uncultured bacterium. Its description in RNAcentral is "partial 16S ribosomal RNA". It matches the Rfam family "Bacterial small subunit ribosomal RNA", at positions 338 to 795 of the family's 1533-position model. The record is from RNAcentral.
CCUACGGGUGGCUGCAGUGAGGAAUAUUGGUCAAUGGGCGCGAGCCUGAACCAGCUAAGUAGCGUGUAGGAUGACUGCCCUACGGGUUGUAAACUUCUUUUAUAAAAGAAUAAAGUGAGUCACGUAUGCAUUGCUGUGUGGACUUUACUAAUAAGGUUCGGCUCACUCAGUUACAGCAGCCGCGGUAAUACGGAGGAUCCGAGCGUUAUCCGGAUUGAUUGGGGUUAAAGGGAAUGUAGAUGGCUGGUUAAGUCAGUUGUGAAGGUUUGCGGCUGAACCGUAAAAUUGCAAUUGAUACUGGCAGGCUUGAGUACAGUAGAGGUAGGCGGAAUUCGUGGUGUAGCAGUGAAAUGCUUAGAUAUCACGAAGAACCCCGAUUGCGAAGGCAGCUUACUAAACUGUGACUGACAUUGAUACUCGAAAGCGUGGGUAGCAAACAAGAUUAGAUACCCGAGUAGUC